AAGAGAGGGAUCUUCAGAAAAAUUCAGGUAUUCAAGUGAACAUUUAGUAUACAUCAUAUUGUUAAUUCAGUUUAAUAUGGAUCAUUAUGAACAAGGACUCAAAUAGUUGACAGAUGUAGCUUUAAUUUAAAGAUUUCUGGAAGAAGACAACAUGAAAACAUGACAGAUCAAAAGGUAGUCUGGAACUCUGGAUGGAGAGAGAAGAGAGAGAGAAGGGGGGAAAACCUGGGCAGGAAUUCUGUCAGUAU
Molecule: unclassified non-coding RNA, 248 nt
Filed under: Hevea brasiliensis (rubber tree)
Lineage: Eukaryota; Viridiplantae; Streptophyta; Magnoliopsida; Malpighiales; Euphorbiaceae
Source: RNAcentral